UUCAACUUUGGAUUUGCCGUGUUCGCAAAACAUCGAUGCUACCUUUCAAUCUAUAUUUUAAACGAUGACAUGUCACAUAUUUUAUAAGAUACCGUCCUGUUGUCUUCUGUCAAUAUCCAUACAGUCGUUGUGUUUGAUUUCAGAGCUAUUUGCUUAUCGGUCAUUUAUAAAUAGCUAAUGUUUCUAAGCUAGCUGGAAGCUAAUGUCAACAAGUUAGUUGAUGCACGGAGAUCUUUAUGCUAUCUAACUAGAUCCAAUAAUGGACUACGAGGCAUUCAAAUGCUGAUGUUCAUGGCUUCAGGUAUUACUUAAGUAGAAUUUGGGAUUUUUGUGCCAUUGAGUGUCUACUGUGUCGUGUGUCGAGUCGACACAGGCUAUCACAAGUACAGUCUCCGAGGAUGUCAUUUGUUGUUUUUGGGUAGUAUACAAUGGUGAUGUUACCUGCUCAUUUCUUGUUAAGCUGACAUUAAGCUUACAUUACUCGUGUAUCUUUACGAUAGCUAGAUUCACAAUGAACUGCGAGGCAUUGAAAUGGUGAUGUUCAUGUUGUCAUUUUUCUGUUCGGAUCUAGGUUCUAGCAGAUUGUUGGUGGAGACCGCUACAGCAGGCUGGUGCAGACUGGUGGUGUUGGUGGGGACCGCUACAGCCAUCGGAAGGGAUUUGGCAGGAGGUGGAGCCUUCUUUGCUUGACUUUUACUGCCAAGGUAGCUUUUUCCCUUCCCAUGGUUCUUCCCUUUCAUUAUUGAUGCAUUUACCUGCAAUCCUGAGCCUCAACCUGGUGUAUUUGGUGAUCACUCUCCUCUUGACAUCAUGGCAGGAUGGAAGGUUUGAUUUCACAGUCAUGGCCUCUUCCACUAGUUCACUGACUGAGCACUCCAUUAGGGCUUCUGAUGUCCUGGCCCGGAACAGCUGCUCAACGUGCUGCAGUAAAGAGAAUACAUCCGCAGAUGGCUGGUGAAGUGCGCCCUCUCUGUACUCCUUCAUCUGCAGCAGUGUGGCGUUGUCCGGUACAGCGUCGUCACUGUUCCUUAAGGCAGGCUUACAGGCCGAACACAAAGAGCCGCCUAGUACACCCUUGAUGACGUAUCCGGCCAGAUGGUAUAGCACACAGGACUCCGCUUUUGUGGAAAUGAUUCUGCUCCUACUGCAUGAGACUGCUGCUGUUGAUGGGGAAGUGCUUUUGCCAGAAAUGGCUUAGUUGCAGGUGGUGGCUUUCUUGAGUUGCACUGAUAAGGUAACCUAACUAACCUUUUGAGGACCCUUACAGUAAGUAAUAUUAUAUCUGUGUCUAACAUUUUGUAUUUCCGGUGAUUGAGGUCUUUAGCUGCAAAAUGUAUAGGACUUUGGUCAGACUAGUAGGGCCGGAUAUAUGUGCACAGCAACAUAGUUGUCUUUUUUUUGUUUCUAUACGCCAUCCCAAUGGAAUUCAAAUGAAACUACGGUAACAAGAGAAUAAAAGUGCCUUUCAAAACAUUCAAGGAUCAGAGAGAAGUAAUAAUAAAACGAAGACACAUUAACACAUUUUUAACAAAAAUAAAACGGUAGUUAAAAAGUCCUAAGGAAUAGGCUAACUGAAACAAAUGAGUUUUUAGUCUGCAUUUGAACUUGGGUAAUAAGUCAGGGGGCAGUGCAUUCCAGAGCUGAGGAGCAGAGCAACUGAAAAGCUCUAUUCCCCAUGGUACUGAGAUGGGCAGAGGGACAGAGAGGAGGAUGGUCGAGGACAAACCGAGGUAGCGAGAGGGAAUGGCAAGGCAAGAUUGUUGCAAGAUUGUGAAUGGCCUGGAAGGUGUGCAGGACAGGAGUAUUUUAAGAAGCACAGGGUAUUGAGCACUCAGAGACAUAGCCAAGGUAAGAAUGGAAGACGCCGAACAACCAUUCAACAAGUUAAUUGAGUCAAGACUGGGUCAUGAAAUACCAGAGGACAGUUUUCAAAGGUAUGGACUAGUGAAAGUGACUGUUGACAGACAGGGUGUCAAGACAAUGGUAUUUGUGUCGUAUUCGUGGGUAAGCGGUUAGGGUGUCAGACUUGUAGCCCAAAGGAUGCUGGUUCGACUCCGACCCGCCAGGUUGGUGCGGGGAGUAAUUAACCAGUGCUCUCCCCCAUCCUCCUCCCUGACUGAGGUACCCUGAUCAUGGUACCGUCCCGCCACACUGCGCCAUUGGGGACUGCCCCCUUGCAUGGAUGAGGCAGAAAUGCAAUUUUCUAGUGUGCAGUGUUCACUUGAAUUUUGUGGAGUACUGUGUCACAGUGAAUUUAAAUGUAUUACUUUAAUAAAUGUUAAUGACAAGUAGGAAUGGGCAGCAUAGUUGCAAUGCCUAGUCUUGCCACCCUUGUAAGAUCAGAUAACUAACUUUUAGUGUCUGUUUUCACAGAAAUUUGUCUAGCGUGACACUUCUCCACAAUCCACAUGUAAACAGGCAUUUAAAAACAAUAUGGCCAUUGGUCUUGUCCUCUAGGUCCUCUAGGCCCAAGCUGUUAGGGCAGCACAGUACAAUAAAUUAAGUUGCCAAAAAAAAAACUUAAAAUAUUCCUCUGUGGUAUUAAAAAAAAUAUGCUUUCCAUGUAGAUGUGUGCAUUCUACUGUUCUCCACUUCUGUGAAGCAAUACUAUAGGAUGAGGGUGAAAAUGGUGUU
Long non-coding RNA from Engraulis encrasicolus (European anchovy), 2634 nucleotides. RefSeq lists it as uncharacterized. NCBI's taxonomy places the organism in Eukaryota, Metazoa, Chordata, Actinopteri, Clupeiformes, Engraulidae. The record is from RefSeq and is a predicted model, not a curated record. The transcript has 2 exons.